RNAcentral lists this ribosomal RNA (429 nucleotides) under Acidobacteriota bacterium. RNAcentral's name for it is "Acidobacteria bacterium partial 16S ribosomal RNA". It matches the Rfam family "Bacterial small subunit ribosomal RNA", at positions 355 to 776 of the family's 1533-position model. The record is from RNAcentral. Lineage: Bacteria; Pseudomonadati; Acidobacteriota.
UGGGGAAUUUUUGACAAUGGGGGAAACCCUGAUCCAGCCAUCCCGCGUGUGCGAUGAAGGCCUUCGGGUUGUAAAGCACUUUUGGCAGGAAAGAAACGUCAUGGGUUAAUACCCCGUGAAACUGACGGUACCUGCAGAAUAAGCACCGGCUAACUACGUGCCAGCAGCCGCGGUAAUACGUAGGGUGCAAGCGUUAAUCGGAAUUACUGGGCGUAAAGCGUGCGCAGGCGGUUCGGAAAGAAAGAUGUGAAAUCCCAGAGCUCAACUUUGGAACUGCAUUUUUAACUACCGGGCUAGAGUGUGUCAGAGGGAGGUGGAAUUCCGCGUGUAGCAGUGAAAUGCGUAGAUAUGCGGAGGAACACCGAUGGCGAAGGCAGCCUCCUGGAAUAACACUGACGCUCAUGCACGAAAGCGUGGGGAGCAAACAGG